UACGUAGGGUGCAAGCGUUGUCCGGAAUUAUUGGGCGUAAAGAGCUCGUAGGCGGCCUGUCGCGUCGGCUGUGAAAACCCGAGGCUCAACCUCGGGCCUGCAGUCGAUACGGGCAGGCUAGAGUUCGGUAGGGGAGACUGGAAUUCCUGGUGUAGCGGUGAAAUGCGCAGAUAUCAGGAGGAACACCGAUGGCGAAGGCAGCUCGCUGGGACGGUACUGACGCUGAGGCGCGAAAGCGUGGGGAGCGAACAGG
This 253-nucleotide ribosomal RNA is filed under the name uncultured bacterium. Its description in RNAcentral is "partial 16S ribosomal RNA". It matches the Rfam family "Bacterial small subunit ribosomal RNA", at positions 524 to 776 of the family's 1533-position model. The record is from RNAcentral.